GAGUUUGAUCAUGGCUCAGGACGAACGCUGGCGGUGCGCCUUAUGCAUGCAAGUUGAGCGAAGCUUUUCAGUAGUUUACUACAGAAAAUGACUGAGCGGCGAACGGGUGAGUAACGCGUGAGCAAUCUACCUUAGUUACUGGGAUAGCCCGAGGAAACUCGGAUUAAUACCGGAUAUUCUUAUUUUUUCACAUGAAGUUUUAAGGAAAGGUCAGCCGAACUAAGAUGAGCUCGCGUUCUAUCAGCUAGUUGGUGGGGUAAAAGCCUACCAAGGCUACGACGGAUAGCUGGUCUGAGAGGACGAUCAGCCACACUGGGACUGAGACACGGCCCAGACUCCUACGGGAGGCUGCAGCAGGGAAUAUUGCGCAAUGAGCGAAAGCUUGACGCAGCGACACCGCGUGUGGGAUGACGGUUCUAGGAUUGUAAACCACUUUCAGGAGGGAAGAAAAUGACGGUACCUCCACAAGAAGACCCGGCCAACUACGUGCCAGCAGCCGCGGUAAUACGUAGGGGUCAAGCGUUGUCCGGAUUUAUUGGGCGUAAAGAGCUCGUAGGCGGUUCAACAAGUCGGUCGUAAAAGUUUAGGGCUCAACCCUAAAAUGUCGAUCGAUACUGUUGUGACUAGGAUACGGUAGAGGUGAAUGGAAUUCCGAGUGUAGCGGUGAAAUGCGUAGAUAUUCGGAGGAACACCAAUUGCGAAGGCAGUUCACUGGACCGUGAUCGACGCUGAGGAGCGAAAGCUAGGGGAGCAAACAGGAUUAGAUACCCUGGUAGUCCUAGCUGUAAACGAUGGAUACUAGAUGUAGGAACUGGAUUGACGGUUUCUGUAUCGUAGCUAACGCGUUAAGUAUCCCGCCUGGGGAGUACGGUCGCAAGACUAAAACUCAAGGGAAUUGACGGGACCCCGCACAAGCGGCGGAGCAUGCGGCUUAAUUCGAUGAUACCCGUAGAACCUUACCUGG
This 964-nucleotide ribosomal RNA is filed under the name uncultured bacterium. RNAcentral's name for it is "bacterial SSU rRNA". It matches the Rfam family "Bacterial small subunit ribosomal RNA", at positions 9 to 978 of the family's 1533-position model. The record is from RNAcentral.